Triticum aestivum (bread wheat) is the source of this 429-nucleotide long non-coding RNA. RefSeq lists it as uncharacterized. NCBI's taxonomy places the organism in Eukaryota, Viridiplantae, Streptophyta, Magnoliopsida, Poales, Poaceae. The transcript has 2 exons. The record is from RefSeq and is a predicted model, not a curated record.
UUUGAUGGAAGGCUUCAUCUCGGCGGCGCCAUGGCGGCGAGGUCGAGGGGAUGAUGCUCAUCCAUGAUCUAGUAUGGUGUCCGCGAGUGGUGGCUCCGGUCCUAUGCCUUGGUAACAUCGACGGUAGGCGACAGUUCUAGGAGGCGAGGAGUAUGGGGACAUUCCCCGGUCAACGUGCCACAAAGAAUUUGGCUCCGCCGGUGGCGGGCCUCUCCAUCGACUCACAAGCUCUUUCGGGCAAUGGUGCUCUAUCAACUCCAACAAUGGAUUGCAGCAAGAAUAGCGGUUGUAUUGAUCCUGAACGUGUAUUUUUCCUUGCCUUUAUUUGCGAUUCCAUGUGCAUGCGUUGUAUUGCGUCUUGCUAUGAGUGAUUAGUGAUAAUCUUCUAAAAACAUUUUGAUGAAAGAAAAUAAAGUUGCACUCAUCAUA